GAUGAACGCUGGCGGCGUGCCUAAUACAUGCAAGUCGAGCGAACAGACGAGGAGCUUGCUCCUCUGACGUUAGCGGCGGACGGGUGAGUAACACGUGGAUAACCUACCUAUAAGACUGGGAUAACUUCGGGAAACCGGCGCUAAUACCGGAUAAUAUAUUGAACCGCAUGGUUCAAUAGUGAAAGACGGUUUUGCUGUCACUUAUAGAUGGAUCCGCGCCGCAUUAGCUAGUUGGUAAGGUAACGGCUUACCAAGGCAACGAUGCGUAGCCGACGUGAGAGGGUGAUCGGCCACACUGGAACUGGGACACGGUCCAGACUCCUACGGGAGGCAGCAGUAGGGAAUCUUCCGCAAUGGGCGAAAGCUUGACGGAGCAACGCCGCGUGAGUGAUGAAGGUCUUCGGAUCGUAAAGCUCUGUUAUUAGGGAAGAACAAAUGUGUAAGUAACUAUGCACGUCUUGACGGUACCUAAUCAGAAAGCCACGGCUAACUACGUG
Molecule: ribosomal RNA, 497 nt
Filed under: uncultured bacterium
Lineage: Bacteria
Description: partial 16S ribosomal RNA
Rfam family: Bacterial small subunit ribosomal RNA
Source: RNAcentral